This 336-nucleotide unclassified non-coding RNA is filed under the name uncultured Sordariomycetes. RNAcentral describes it as "sequence contains ITS1". The stretch from base 1 to 101 matches the Rfam family "5.8S ribosomal RNA", at positions 50 to 154 of the family's 154-position model. Lineage: Eukaryota; Fungi; Ascomycota; Sordariomycetes. The record is from RNAcentral.
AAGUUGCGAUACGUAGUGUGAACUGCGUCUAUUAGUGAAUCAUCGAAUCUUUGAACGCACAUUGCGCCGCCCCUCGGGGUGGCAUGCCUGUCUGAGCGUCGCUUCAAAACCUCACCUCCCCCCCAAGUUGGGGGGCGAAGGUGGUCAUGGGCCUCGCCCGCGCCGCCCACGGGCGUGUUUCGGGGGCGUGGCCUGAAAGUCAUCGGUCGCUGGCCCGCCAUGGGUCCUCGGUGUGCGAGUCUUCUUGACGUCUCGCCGGGGCCGACGGAGGGAGCGGAGACCCUAAACCUCUGAACACUUGACCUCAGAUCAGGUAGGAGUACGGGCUGAACUUAA